Long non-coding RNA from Eriocheir sinensis (Chinese mitten crab), 467 nucleotides. RefSeq lists it as uncharacterized. The transcript is spliced from 3 exons. The record is from RefSeq and is a predicted model, not a curated record. Lineage: Eukaryota; Metazoa; Arthropoda; Malacostraca; Decapoda; Varunidae.
UAGUCCGCUGUUUUCCCUUUAUUUUCUUGCACUUAUCUUGUUCUUGUUCUUCUUGUCUUGUUCUUAGGUGGGUGUAGUCUGCUGUUUUCCCUUUAUUUUCUUGCACUUAUCUUGUUUUUGUUCUUCUUGUCUUGUUCUUAGGUGGGUGUAGUCCGAUGUUAUUCCCUUUAUUUCUGGCACUUAUCUUGUUCUUGUUCUUCUUGUCUUGUUCUUAGGUGGGUGUAGUCCGCUGUUAUUCCCUUUAUUUUCUUGCACUUAUCUUGUUCUUAUCUUCUUCUCCGCUGAUUUUCCCUUUUUAUUUUCCAGAACUCGUAUAUACAGAGCCCCUUUCACUUCUUAUGUCACUGUAUAGAGGCCUGAAACUUCAUCAACGGUAAACGGUAAACCAAGGAGCCGAGGAGAGCAAGGAGCGGCCAGGCGAGGGUUUGUUUGUUUACCUUACGACGCCCGAUGUUGCGAAAAAUACU